AAGUCGUAACAAGGUUUCCGUAGGUGAACCUGCGGAAGGAUCAUUACCGAGUUAGGGUCUCUCAGGCCCGACCUCCCACCCCAUGUGUACCUACCUUUGUUGCUUUGGCGGGCCCGUUGGGGCGACCCACCGUCGGCUUCGGCUGGCGAGCGCCCGCCAGAGACCAUUCAAACCCUGUUUAUCAGUGUCGUCUGAGUAAAACACAAUAGUUAAAA
This 215-nucleotide unclassified non-coding RNA is filed under the name plant metagenome. RNAcentral's name for it is "partial contains small subunit ribosomal RNA and internal transcribed spacer 1". The stretch from base 1 to 46 matches the Rfam family "Eukaryotic small subunit ribosomal RNA", at positions 1786 to 1831 of the family's 1831-position model. The record is from RNAcentral.